GCGCCCGUAGCUCAGCCGGAUAGAGCACAGGAUUCCUAAUCCUGGGGUCGGGGGUUCAAAUCCCUCCGGGCGCACCA
Molecule: transfer RNA, 77 nt
Filed under: Rhodospirillales bacterium
Lineage: Bacteria; Pseudomonadati; Pseudomonadota; Alphaproteobacteria; Rhodospirillales
Description: tRNA-Arg
Rfam family: tRNA
About the family: Transfer RNA (tRNA) molecules are approximately 80 nucleotides in length. Their secondary structure includes four short double-helical elements and three loops (D, anti-codon, and T loops).
Source: RNAcentral